RNAcentral lists this unclassified non-coding RNA (90 nucleotides) under Pseudomonas arsenicoxydans. Lineage: Bacteria; Pseudomonadati; Pseudomonadota; Gammaproteobacteria; Pseudomonadales; Pseudomonadaceae. The record is from RNAcentral.
UGUGGGAGCGGGCUUGCCCGCGAUAGCGCAAUGUCAGUCAACGAAUGUGUUGAAUGUGACGCCGUCAUCGCGGGCAAGCCCGCUCCCACU